GACGAACGCUGGCGGCGUGCCUAACACAUGCAAGUCGAACGAGUCCAGACUUCGGUCUGAGGCGAGUGGCGGACGGGUGAGUAACACGUGAGUAAUCUGUCCCCGUGCGGGGGAUAACCCGGGGAAACCCGGGCUAAUACCGCAUGGUCGAUCGCGAGGAUCUCGUGGUCGGAAAAGGUGGCCUCUUUACAAUGCUACCGCGCAGGGAGGAACUCGCGGGCUAUCAGCUAGUUGGUAGGGUCACGGCCUACCAAGGCGACGACGGCUACGGGGUCUGAGAGGACGACCCCGCACAUUGGAACUGAGACACGGUCCAGACUCCUACGGGAGGCUG
This 334-nucleotide ribosomal RNA is filed under the name uncultured Gemmatimonadota bacterium. Its description in RNAcentral is "bacterial SSU rRNA". It matches the Rfam family "Bacterial small subunit ribosomal RNA", at positions 28 to 351 of the family's 1533-position model. The record is from RNAcentral. Lineage: Bacteria; Pseudomonadati; Gemmatimonadota.